GAGACAAGCCUUCCCUGGAAUAUUUGCCGAGUGAACGUCCUCUGUGCAGACUCACAUGAUGCUUUGUCAUCUUUGGGAGAAGAGCCAAUAUUAUAAAAAGUUGCUGGGGAAAAAAAUGGAUCACGGCAGAAUAACCAGGGCAUUUAACCAGCCUGAGUUUGGAGGUGAUGGUUGCUGGCCUCUGUGGGUGUCCCGGGUCAAAGAAACAGAAUUUAGAACCUGGAAGUGUUGAUCAAGACGAACACUGCAACUUUGAUCAGCUAAACUUCAGGCUCUUCCGGUCCCUCUGCUGCCUGAGGCCAGGGAAGGAAGAGGUACCUAACAGGACAGCCACACCUUGGGAAGCCGAGGAUUUGGUGACUAAGAACCAGAUACAAUGAGACCAGUGGAAUUGCCAGAGUUGUGCCCAGAGAGCUCACUGUGAACUGGAUCCGCUUCAUGGAAUACUGGGGAGGCAGGUUGGGGGCAGAACUGGGGGGAAGCAUGAAGAAAAUCGAGGUACGUAACUGUGGUCUAGAGGAAGAAGGGAAAUACGGUCACUUUGGAUUCUUUAGUGAAUCAAAAAUCUCCUUUUGCUUCAUUUCUUGUAUUCAAAAAUGUUUCAAAUAUACUGUGAACUAUUCACCUUAGGAAAUACCAGAAAUUAAAAAAAGUAACACGGAUGAUUCUUAGCAAUAAAGUAUUCAGCAGUUUUUCGUAUGGGAAAUUUUAAACAUAUAGAAACAGAAAGAAUACUGUGAUUUCCUCCAGGUACCUACUACUUAGCUUUCAUCUUAGUCAAUCUUGCUUCCUCUGUAUGUCUUAGCCCCUUCCCCCUCCCUUAUUAUUUUGAAGGAAAGCUCAGACAUCAUAGAAUACCAUUUUUAUAAUGUUAAAAAUAACUAAAAUUUUAAAAAAGGCUUUUCAUGAAUAUAUAGAUGCAGUAAGACCAUAUAAAAAGAAAUUCAAGGCAAGGAAAAGCACAGCACGUGGGGUGGUAGUUACUGCAUGCGGGCGGGGCCGGGUUACAAGUAGAUUCGUAUCUGCGAUUUUGUUUUCAUCAGCCAGUUCUGGGUACUUGCUUGUUACCUUGUCAAAAAUAAAAGGAGACGGCGCAAAGACCGAUAUGAGCAGGUACAUGAACCCAGGAUUCACAUUCAGCCACUGCUGUGCACAGAAGCCCCGUUGGUCCCCUUUUCUGCCUGAGCCAAUGGAGUCAUCGUCGUCUUCCUUUUCAGAGGAUUACUUAGGAGUCCUCGUGUGUUUGAAACCAGAAGGAACCUUCAAAACCAGCACCUGAUGGAUGAGAUAGCUGGUGCACAGAGGCCCUGCAGACGUUUGACUGCGGGGACCCAGGAACAGGGGGCGGCUGCAUCUGGCUUCUCAGAAUCGCCAGUGCUACGCUCAGCAGAGGCGCAUCUUGAUAAAUUUCAGCGACAACAAAGGCAUGAAGUCGCGCUGAAUUUUCCUUUUCUGAGCUUGGUUCCAGCUGAUCAUGCUUCCUGUCUCUCUAAGAGCCUCCCUGACACAGGCGACUUGCUUCUUUCACAUUUGGUCAUCGCCCUCUUGCUUUCCUUUGUGAGUCAGCGUGGCUGCCCUUGUGCAGGAGUCAGUGCUCCCGGCCCCAGUGCCUGACCUCCCCAGGUGAUCCCCGCCCCCCUCCCAGGGUGAGCGUCCCCGCCCACUCCGUGCCGCUUAGGAGACGUGCGCUGGGGACAUGAGUCACAGCCCCAUCCUCCCCAGCUGAAACUAUUCGGGGAAUGCCUCUGCACGCAGUGCACGCUCGCUUCCUGGAGCUCACAGUCCUGUGCUUAGGGAUCAGCCGCUCAUACUUCUCUGCCAGAGGUUCCACUUGGGUGAUCACAAGGUGGUUGCGUCAAGUCAGGAAGCUUCCAAGAAAGGUGUGUUUAGGUCAGGCAUCACGCAUCCUAGGCUGAGCAUCAACCGCGUGCACCUGGGGGGGUUCAACCUGGAAGGAAGGAGGCAAAAGACUAAAAGAAGAGCCAGGGAGAUGUACAGUUCCUGUGUCACUGUGACAGAUGAGGACAGCGAGCGGGAGGAAGGUGAAGUCCUGAGCUCAUGGUCUGUAGCCAGAAGACAGUGAAGUACAUACCCAAGCCGGCUGCCUCGUUAGCAUUAACUUCUGUGGCUGAGAGUCGAUUUGAUUUUUUAUUUUUCAGGAGGAUAUUAGAAGGAAAGGGAGAUGAAUUUAGUUCAUUGAUCCUUCUGUGACGUCCUGAUGUAGAUCUCGCCUCGUAUAUGCUAGAUCGUGACUUAGGCCAUCUGGCAGGGAUCUCAGGAAAGUUCUGGUGCUGGAUGCAGGUUGGAUAAGCUUGCAGACAAAGCAUGGGUCUUGAGUUCAGGAGUUCUAAUUCCAUGUUGGUGUGGCACUGGCUGAGUUCCAGACAGAGGGAGAGAGAGCAGUUGACUUCCUGAUGUUCCUUAUUUGACAAAAACAUGAGACCUUGAGCACGACAAAAUAAACCUUUUGCUAGAGAAUUUUCA
RNAcentral lists this long non-coding RNA (2484 nucleotides) under Felis catus (domestic cat). Its description in RNAcentral is "lncRNA (ENSFCAG00000049382.1)". Lineage: Eukaryota; Metazoa; Chordata; Mammalia; Carnivora; Felidae. The record is from RNAcentral.